AUUGAACGCUGGCGGCAAGCCUAACACAUGCAAGUCGAACGAGUGGCGGAAGGGUGAGUAAUGUCUGGGAAACUGCCUGAUGGAGGGGGAUAACUACUGGAAACGGUAGCUAAUACCGCAUCCCAUCGGAUGUGCCCAGAUGGGAUUAGCUAGUAGGUGGGGUAAAGGCUCAACUAGGCGACGAUCCCUAGCUGGUUUGAGAGGAUGACCAGCCACAUGGGAAUUGAGAAACGGUCCAGACUCCUACGUGAGGCAGCAGUGGGGAAUAUUGCACAAUGGGAGCAAGCCUGAUGCAGCCAUGCCGCGUGUAUGAAGAAGGCCUUCGGGUUUUAAAGUACUUUCAGCGGGGCGGCGUUACCCGCAGAAGAAGCACCGGCUAACUCCGUGCCAGCAGCCGCGGUAAUAC
This 406-nucleotide ribosomal RNA is filed under the name uncultured bacterium. RNAcentral describes it as "partial 16S ribosomal RNA". It matches the Rfam family "Bacterial small subunit ribosomal RNA", at positions 30 to 526 of the family's 1533-position model. The record is from RNAcentral.